RNAcentral lists this ribosomal RNA (477 nucleotides) under uncultured organism. RNAcentral describes it as "bacterial SSU rRNA". It matches the Rfam family "Bacterial small subunit ribosomal RNA", at positions 434 to 917 of the family's 1533-position model. The record is from RNAcentral.
UAUACGGGAAUAAAGUGAGCCACGUGUGGCUUUUUGUAUGUACCGUAUGAAUAAGGAUCGGCUAACUCCGUGCCAGCAGCCGCGGUAAUACGGAGGAUCCGAGCGUUAUCCGGAUUUAUUGGGUUUAAAGGGAGCGUAGGCGGGUUGUUAAGUCAGUUGUGAAAGUUUGCGGCUCAACCGUAAAAUUGCAGUUGAUACUGGCGACCUUGAGUGCAACAGAGGUAGGCGGAAUUCGUGGUGUAGCGGUGAAAUGCUUAGAUAUCACGAAGAUCCGAUUGCGAAGGCAGCUUACUGGAUUGUAACUGACGCUGAUGCUCGAAAGUGUGGGUAUCAAACAGGAUUAGAUACCCUGGUAGUCCACACAGUAAACGAUGAAUACUCGCUGUUGGCGAUAUACAGUCAGCGGCCAAGCGAAAGCAUUAAGUAUUCCACCUGGGGAGUACGCCGGCAACGGUGCAACUCAAAGGAAUUGACGGA